Molecule: ribosomal RNA, 496 nt
Filed under: uncultured bacterium
Lineage: Bacteria
Description: partial 16S ribosomal RNA
Rfam family: Bacterial small subunit ribosomal RNA
Source: RNAcentral
AUUGAACGCUGGCGGAAUGCUUUACACAUGCAAGUCGAACGGUAGAGGGGGCAACCCCUCGAGAGUGGCGAACGGGUGAGUAAUAUAUCGGAACGUGCCCAGUCGUGGGGGAUAACGUAGCGAAAGUUACGCUAAUACCGCAUACGAUCUAAGGAUGAAAGCGGGGGAUCGCAAGACAUCGCGCGAUUGGAGCGGCCGAUAUCAGAUUAGGUAGUUGGUGGGGUAAAGGCUCACCAAGCCAACGAUCUGUAGCUGGUCAGAGAGGACGACCAGCCACACUGGAACUGAGACACGGUCCAGACUCCUACGGGAGGCAGCAGUGGGGAAUUUUGGACAAUGGACGCAAGUCUGAUCCAGCCAUUCCGCGUGCAGGAUGAAGGCCCUCGGGUUGUAAACUGCUUUUGUACGGAACGAAAAGGUCUCUCUUAAUACGGGGGGCUCAUGACGGUACCGUAAGAAUAAGCACCGGCUAACUACGUGCCAGCCGCCGCGGUAA